RNAcentral lists this ribosomal RNA (371 nucleotides) under uncultured organism. Its description in RNAcentral is "bacterial SSU rRNA". It matches the Rfam family "Bacterial small subunit ribosomal RNA", at positions 526 to 896 of the family's 1533-position model. The record is from RNAcentral.
CGUAGGGUGCGAGCGUUGUCCGGAAUUAUUGGGCGUAAAGGGCUCGUAGGCGGUUUGUCGCGUCGGGAGUGAAAACCUCGGGCUUAACUCGGGGCUUGCUUUCGAUACGGGCAGACUAGAGGUAUGCAGGGGAGAACGGAAUUCCUGGUGUAGCGGUGAAAUGCGCAGAUAUCAGGAGGAACACCGGUGGCGAAGGCGGUUCUCUGGGCAUGAUCUGACGCUGAGGAGCGAAAGUGUGGGGAGCGAACAGGAUUAGAUACCCUGGUAGUCCACACCGUAAACGUUGGGCGCUAGGUGUGGGAUCCAUUCCACGGGUUCCGUGCCGCAGCUAACGCAUUAAGCGCCCGCUGGGGAGUACGGCCGCAAGGCUA